CGGUCUGUUUCUUCCAUGUUUCUCUACCGCUCUGACUCCGCCAAGGUAGGGACGCGGGGCAUUGCCGGUAGAGGAAUUUAAUUCAAUUGUGUUUGCUGUCUUACAUAUUUGAAGUUCAAGUGGCUUAAUGAUGGAAGAAAGGACCUAUGAGUCACGUGGCACUCGUGUCUAUGUGGGUGGCCUUGGUGAAGAUAUCAAGAAAGAGGAUCUGGAAUCUGAAUUUGAAAAGUUUGGAAAAUUAAAUAGUGUGUGGGUUGCCUUUAACCCUCCUGGGUUUGCCUUCAUUGAAUUUGCAAAUGAAGAUGAUGCUGAAACAGCCUGUGAUAACCUGAAUGGUUAUGUAAUCAUGGGUUCCAAACUACGGGUGGAAAUUUCUCGGGGGCGAGGGAGGGGCAGAGGGGGUACCAGGGGGUUUAGGGGUGAUAGUAAUGGCAGAGGAUUUUUCCCUAGAGGAGGCACCCGGGGUGGAUAUGACAGAGGGGGUGGUGGGGGCUUCCGUGGACGGGGUAGUAGAAGUCCCCGUGGUGGUAGGGGCAGGUACGACGACUACGGAUCUACCCGUGGUAGCUCCUAUGGAACUCGUGACUAUGGAUCUGGCCGUGGGCGAGAUAGCUACGGCGGGGGUGGCAACGAUUACUACGGUGGUGGUGGCCGAGACACUUCGAGGUAUCGCAGUCGGUCCCCAGCAGGGCGUGGCAGGUAUUUAUCCACAUGAAUUGAUUUUCGUUUGCCAUUAUGAAGUUGUACGAUUUGUCAUGAGACUUUGCUUGUCCAUCAAAUGAGUCACGACCAUACCACAACCAUCGCAAUGUUGCUGAACAGAGAGAGAAAUCUUGGAGGCUCUUUUGCGACGUGCAGUGCAUAUUUUCCUGCAGACUUUGUUAAACAAUGCAGGAAUUUGAUUGCAAUUUUAAUCUGCGAAAUGUAUGUUUUGAAGAUUUUCUUCGCAUCGUGCUAAAGAUACAUAAUACUGUUUCUUCGCAUCGUUAGUUUCGUCAUUUGAUAAUUUUCUACUGCAUAUAAUUAAUUAAGUCAAUAUCUUCGCAAACAAGUAAUUGUUCAUCGCAGCAUGAUAGUGUGCUUCGUAAGUGGACUCUGCAUUUGUCUCAUGACAUUGAUUUUCGACCAGUAGUUUGACCCAUCCACUAUAAAUUUGAUUUUUUUAUGUCUACGAUGUAAAAUGUCAGUGUCGGUGCUACGAAUCUUGGAAAUUUUGCAGCUCCAGGGACUAUGGAAGUUCAGACAGUUACGGCUACGGUGGUGGUCGUUCAGGUGGAUACUAAACAGCGGCGAUGGUUAGAACACCAAGUAUCAGGUACAGCGAAUACUCAAUAUGUCAGUUGAAAACUAUUAUUAUUUGCAUCAUAAAUUGUCAAGUUUAUAUUACUAUAGCCUCAACAUACAUGAGAAAAAAGUAGUAAAAUAAAAAAUAUAUCUUCGCUAUUGCUUUGUUAGGUUUAAAAAUAUACCUACGUAAAUAGUAACUUCCUUUGCUUACUAAUUUUUUAGGAAUAUUUUCGUCAUGUCAGACACAAGCUUCUAAAGAGUAACACUGGUGCCAGUGAUACUUCAGUGGGAAAGAGUGUAUUUUAAAACUCCUUGCCAAAACAAUGCAUGUCACCUUCUAGAAAUGUGCGAGCAUGAUAAUUACCUGUAAGCUGCAUAUUAAAGUUUGAACCCCAAGAUUUAAUCAAACUGUACCCAUGUUAUGUCUUCGUUUUAAAUGAUGGAAUGUUCUUUCUACUUGCCAUGUUUGCAGUCCCCCAAUGGCGUCAUCGAUAUUCUGCGAGAGGUGAUUCAUGUUUCGUCGAUUAUUCAAGCAAGAUGGUAUGGUCAAGAUGGGUACUGCUGCGACAAGCACGUCGUCUGAUUUAUCGUGUAUUCUACUCCGUGUUCUUAAAAACAGUUUUUCAGCAGAAUGUCACUAAAAAUUGUUUUGAACUUAAUACUCUGUUGAAUUAAUCUUCAUUGAAAGUCUGCGAUCAGUAUGUAUUUUGAACUGAUAUUCUGAAGAAAACUUUUUCAUGAUGAAAGGAGUGGAGAGCCAGACUUCCUUUUGAUUGUGCACAUGUUUUUAUAGAAAUGCUUCACUUCGUGUAUUAAUGAUUUUCUUCAAAUUGGCCAGUUUCUGUAGUUUACGUAGAAUCCUUCAAAAGUAUCAUUUUUUGUUUUUGUAGUGCAUUAUUUCACUGGCUUUUUCAUGAAACAGAGUAAUGUGUUAGCUUUAGCUUCUUUGUUCAUUGUAUAAGACUGUAACUUUUGUAUGGAAUAGUUUCAAAGUAAAUUCGUCAAAACAA
Molecule: long non-coding RNA, 2297 nt
Organism: Bacillus rossius redtenbacheri
Lineage: Eukaryota; Metazoa; Arthropoda; Insecta; Phasmatodea; Bacillidae
Exons: 2
Source: RefSeq, a predicted model, not a curated record